RNAcentral lists this ribosomal RNA (498 nucleotides) under uncultured bacterium. RNAcentral describes it as "partial 16S ribosomal RNA". It matches the Rfam family "Bacterial small subunit ribosomal RNA", at positions 28 to 507 of the family's 1533-position model. The record is from RNAcentral.
GACGAACGCUGGCGGCGUGCCUAAUACAUGCAAGUCGAACGAGAGCAACCGGUGCUUGCCCUGGUCAAUCUAGUGGCAAACGGGUGAGUAACACGUGGGUAACCUGCCCAUCAGAGGGGGAUAACAUCCGGAAACGGAUGCUAAAACCGCAUAGGUCUUCGAACCGCAUGGUUUGAAGAGGAAAAGAGGCGCAAGCUUCUGCUGAUGGAUGGACCCGCGGUGCAUUAGCUAGUUGGUGAGGUAACGGCUCACCAAGGCCGUGAUGCAUAGCCGACCUGAGAGGGUGAUCGGCCACAUUGGGACUGAGACACGGCCCAAACUCCUACGGGAGGCAGCAGUAGGGAAUCUUCCGCAAUGGACGCAAGUCUGACGGAGCAACGCCGCGUGAGUGAAGAAGGUUUUCGGAUCGUAAAACUCUGUUGUUAGAGAAGAACAAGUGCUAGAGUAACUGUUAGCGCCUUGACGGUAUCUAACCAGAAAGCCACGGCUAACUACGUG